RNAcentral lists this ribosomal RNA (499 nucleotides) under Metschnikowia aff. fructicola HA 1653. RNAcentral's name for it is "eukaryotic LSU rRNA". It matches the Rfam family "Eukaryotic large subunit ribosomal RNA", at positions 62 to 648 of the family's 3401-position model. The record is from RNAcentral. Lineage: Eukaryota; Fungi; Ascomycota; Pichiomycetes; Serinales; Metschnikowiaceae.
AAACCAACAGGGAUUGCCUCAGUAACGGCGAGUGAAGCGGCAAAAGCUCAAAUUUGAAAUCCCCCGGGAAUUGUAAUUUGAAGAGAUUUGGGUCCGGCCGGCAGGGGUUAAGUCCACUGGAAAGUGGCGCCACAGAGGGUGACAGCCCCGUGAACCCCCUCAACGCCUUUAUCCCAGGUCUCCAAGAGUCGAGUUGUUUGGGAAUGCAGCUCUAAGUGGGUGGUAAAUUCCAUCUAAAGCUAAAUACCGGCGAGAGACCGAUAGCGAACAAGUACAGUGAUGGAAAGAUGAAAAGCACUUUGAAAAGAGAGUGAAAAAGUACGUGAAAUUGUUGAAAGGGAAGGGCUUGCAAGCAGACACUUAACUGGGCCAGCAUCGGGGCGGCGGGAAACAAAACCACCGGGGAAUGUACCUUUCGAGGAUUAUAACCCCGGUCUCAAUUUCCUUGUUGCCCCGAGGCCUGCAAUCUAAGGAUGCUGGCGUAAUGGUUGCAAGUCGC